UUGGGGUAAGGCAGGCAGAGCUAUGGUCGUUCGUUUAUUUUGAUGUUGUGUUUGUCGUUAAACAAAAGGGCGCUGAUGUUCGAAUGAUGAGACGAUCGAUACGAAAGAUACGGUAGUAUUGCUUGAGUUAAUUCGUAAUUUUUAAAUAUCUCUGUCAUUUCGAAAUAAUUUUGCUGUGAUUGAUAGAUGUAUUUUUUCUAGCCUGGAGCAAAUUUUGUCAAAUGUACCGCUCUGGAAUUUUUCCGGAGAAGGAUUUUCUACAUGUUCUCAAUGAAUAAGAAACAAUUUGGAAGACCGUAAGAUAAUAUGAUUGCUAGAACUGAAUCAGACACUGGAAGUUUUGGUUAUGGAAUCCUCAACUUUUAUCUGCAAUGAAAUAACUUUUAAAUUGAAUUGAUCUAAAAAUUUAACAUCUUCAGAUCAAUCCAAAUGAAAGAAAAAUAACUUGAAAAUGAACAUUGUAAUACAAUUCUUAACAAAUAAUGAAAAAGUGGAUUGCAACAGCAUACAAAGUUUACCUCAAAUGAUUUGUUUCAAAGAGAUACUCUCUCUGAUUUUGUUUUGAACGUUGUCAUCAAUAACAUGUGUAGUUUUUACUCAAAAAUUAUGUUGCAUUUGAAGUCUGAUGAAGUUUUGGGUAUUUUCAAAGUUGAGGUUAUGAACUUUCUAAAUUAAAAGAAGAAAUAAACACUAAGGGAUAUCUAUGCAAUACUUUUUCCGUGAUUUCGGCACCUCGUGCAUUUCAAAAAGAAAUUCUGUGUAUUCCAGUGGUAUUACAUAUGCCACUGCUUGUCUUAGUUUCAAAAUGGUUGCAUAUCUGUACCAUUACCGUGAUUCUUACAUUUGACACUACUUAGGUUGCUGUUACAAUUCUUGAUUCGGUAUCACCAUAAUAUUAAUAUCCCCCCUCCUUUUAUAUAAGGAGAUGCAUUGUUACACCAUUAUGAUUGUAACAUCCUGAAUGCUCCGUACCUGUACCAUUACCGUGAUUCUUACAUUUGACACUACUUAGGUUGCUGUUAUAAUUCUUGAUACAGUAUCACCAUAAUAUUAAUAUCCCCCCUCGUUUCAUAUAAGGAAAUGCAUUGUUACACCAUUAUGGUUGUAACGUCCUGAACGCUGCGUACCUGUACCAUUACCGUUAUUCUUACAUUUGACACUACUUAGGUUGCUGUUACAAUUCUUGAUUCGGUAUCACUGUGAUUCUUAAAUUUGACACUACUUAGGUUGCUGUUACAAUUCUUGAUUCGUUAUCACCAUAAUAUUAAUAUCCCCCGUCCUUUCAUAUAAGGAGAUGCAUUGUCACACCAUUAUGAUUCUAACGUCCUGAACGCUGCAUACCUAUACCAUUACCGUGAUUCUUACAUUUGACACUACUUAGGGUUAUUAAAAUUCUUGAGUCAGUAUCACCCUAAUAUUAGCAUUCUCCCUCCUUUAAGAUAGGAGAUGCAUCGUUACACUAUUUAACUGUGGGUGUUUCAUCUAUCACACUUAGUUUAAAAGAUGUAUACUGAUAUGUUAAUGUUCGCACAUUUGAUUUUUUCGAGCCAAGUUGCCAAUAUCAAUAUUAUCAAUAUGAUGCCAGCACCACACAUCUAGUAAUUUUUUCUUUUAUGCCAUAUGGCACACAUGCUGUGAUUCCAACAUUUGGCACAGAAGCUUGUUCAAUGUCGCAUGGUGCUAUACCAAUGCUAUUACCAUUAUUUCAACAUCUAUCAAACUAGUUUCUUUCAUGCCAUGUGGUUCAUACCAAUACUAUUACCAUUUAAUGUCACAUGGUGCUUUUUGAUGAAAUUGCCAUGAUUCCAACAUCUAGCACAUUUGAUUCUUUCUCAUUGCUCUGUGUUUACCAAUGCUAUUACCAUAAUUCCAACACCUAGUAGAAUUAAAUCUUUCAUCUUACAUGGUGCUUACCAAUGCUGUUACCGUGAUUCCAACAUCUAGCACAUUUAAUUCUUUCAUGUUAUGCGGUGCUUACCAAUGCUGUUACCGUGAUUCCAACACCUAGCACACUUGAUUAUUUCAUGCUGCAUGGUGCUUACCAAUGCUGUUACCGUGAUUCCAACACCUAGCACACUUGAUUAUUUCAUGCUGCAUGGUGCUUACCAAUGCUGUUACCGUGAUUCCAACAUCUAGCACACUUGAUUCUUUCAUCAUGCAUAGUGCUUACCAAUGCUGUUACCGUGAUUCCAAUAUCUAGCAUACUUGUGUCUUUGAUGUCACAUGGUGCACACUGAUGCGAUUACCGUGAUUCCAACAUCUAGCACAUUUAAUUCUUUCAUGUUAUGCAGUGCUUACCAAUGCUGUUACCGUGAUUCCAACACCUAGCACACUUGAUUAUUUCAUGCUGCAUGGUGCUUACCAAUGCUGUUACCGUGAUUCCAACACCUAGCACACUUGAUUCUUUCAUCAUGCAUAGUGCUUACCAAUGCUGUUACCGUGAUUCCAACACCUAGCACACUUGAUUCUUUCAUCAUGCAUAGUGCUUACCAAUGCUGCUACCGUGAUUCCAAUAUCUAGCAUACUUGUGUCUUUGAUGUCACAUGGUGCACACUGAUGCGAUUACCGUGAUUCCAACAUCUAGCACAUUUAAUUCUUUCAUGUUAUGCAGUGCUUACCAAUGCUGUUACCGUGAUUCCAACACCUAGCACACUUGAUUCUUUAAUCAUGCAUAGUGCUUACCAAAGCUGUUAUCAUGAUUCCAAUGUCUAUCAUACUUGUUACUGUGAUGUUGCAUGGUGUUUACCUAUGCUAUUACCAUAAUUCCGGCACCUAGUGCAAUUUCAUCUUACAUAGUGCUUACCAAUGCUGUUACCGUGAUUCCAACAUCUAGCAUAUUUGUGUCUUUGAUGUCACAUGGUGCAUACUGAUUUGAUUACCGUGAUUCCAACACCUAGCACAUUUAAUUCUUUCAUUUUGGGUGGUGCUUACUAAAGCUGUUACCAUGAUUCCAACACCUAGCAUUUUUGAUUCUUUCAUCUUGCAUAGCGCUUACCAAUGCUGUUACUGUGAUUCCAACAUCUAGCAUAUUGGUUGGAUGUUUUACGGCGCACACUAUGCAAUUACUGUGAUUCCAACAUUGCAUAUAUUUUUUUGAUGUUUUAUCGUGCAUACCAUUGCAAUUACCGUGAUUCCAACAUCUAGCACAUUUGUUUCAGGUCACAUUGUGCUUACUGUUACUCUUAUGGUGAUUCCAACAUCGAGCAUACUUGUUUCUUUGAUGCUUUAUGGCGUAUACUGAUGUCAUUGCCGUAGUUUCAAUAUCAUGCACAUUUGAUUGUUUUAUGCAAAUUGGUGCAUACAUUUGCAACCACCUGUGUGCCUAAUAUAUCAUCAAUAUCAGGUGCAAAUACCACAAUACUUCUAAUGCCUUUUUUUUUUUUUUGGUGUAAGCAUGGGUGAGAACAUAAGCAGAUACUUGAAAUUUAUAGCAUUUGUAUGGCAGAGUUUAAAAAAAAAGUUAUUGCUUAAGCUUUUCCUUUUUUCCCCUCCAAAUUUAGCUUCUGAUAAUUAAUUGCAUCCAACAAUCUUUUUGUUACAUUUAGUGCUGUUCCUUCAAGAAUAAAAGUUUGGUGCAAAAAUUAUUUAUGAAACAAAAAAAUAAUGAGCUAAUCUGCAAAAUAUUUUAUAUCAGGUUUUGUAGAUUGGAAAGCUUUCAUUACAUCCUUUUUUCUUUUCGCAAAGUUAAAAUGUAGACACAAAAUGAGGCUUUACAUUUUUUGCUUUGGAUGAUAUUUUAAAAUGAAAUAUUUUUUUUAGAAAGGAAAGUCAUUUUUCUUUUGUGCUUUUGCAUGAAUUUUAAUAUUGAACCUUUAAUAUAUAGCUUGAACACAUGCAUCAUCUAAUAAGAAUAAUUAAUCAACUUCAAUAAAUCACUUUCAACAUACUGUGAUUUUAAAAUUUGUACACAAUCUAUGUAGAUUAAAAGUUUCUUAUAUUGAUGUUGUUGUGAUUGCUCAUUCAAAAAUUUUAUACUAAAAAUUUUAAAGUGUUUAUGAAAAUGUUGUCGAUGUAAUUCAAAUACUUAGCAGUGUUGUUGUUUUUUUAUAUCAAAAUGUGAAUACAGUACAACCUUAAUAUCUCAAAUCUCUCGGGACGGGGAAAAAAUUCGAGAUAUCAAGUUUUUGAGUUAUCAAGGUUUUAAAAAAAUUACACAAGAAACUCUCACAAUUACACACACGUACACUAUAUGCAUUUAUAUAUGUACUAUGAGACCACUGUGAAUUACGAUCAAUAAAGUCGUCUACAAUAUUUUACUAGAUUUGAAAUUUUAUAAUUGUCGAAAGUGCACAGGAGGAGAUUUUGAAAUGAACAACAAUUUCAACUUGGUUUUUCACCUAAAAAUUUAAAAAUUCUUAUCUUCAACUAGUAGCUUCUCACAUUCAAAAAAGUUUUCAGCAGCCAUUUUGAAGGAGUUAAAAAAGCAGAAUGAUGAAAAUGAGGAACGUAUUUUCCGUUUUCACUUGAAAACUGACUGGCGAAAAAUCAACCCCCUUUCCUCAAAGUGGACAACAUGUUCGAGAGAAAUGCACAGAUUCUAAACUCUGGGGAAAACACAGCACCCCUUUCAUACCAACACUUCCCUAUUCUCUUGCUUCAAUCCCCUAAUCACAAAGUUUCCAAGAAGAGAGAUGAAAUCUGGUCCCUGGAACUGGUUUUACUACAAAAAUUGUCAAAGAAAAACGACAACUGAAACUUGCUUCUGUGCAAAAAUUUUGACAUAUCAAGGGUUCCAAAAAAUAAAUUUCGAGAUAACUAUGGAAAAUACAUAGUGGUUUUUAUAGAAAAUGCAGGGGAAAAUUUUUUUUGAGACAUCAAAGGUUUCGACAUAAGGAGGUUCGAGAUAUCAAGGUUCAACUGUAUCAUGCCAAUUAAUUAUACACAUGAUAUGUUUAGUAAUAAAAAUGUAUAUUAUUUACAAGACUAUUCUUAGUAAUAACUGCAUUGAAUUCUUUAUCGGUAUCUUACUAUAUUAUAAAAAUCUAAAGACUGCUGCAGCAGCCAAAUAAAAUCGAUGGAGCAUGAUGACAUAAAGUGAAGUUAUUGUUCAACAAUGAUUGUUGUUUCUAAUUGAAGAAUCAUCCUUAUUUUAGCUGGAAAUUGGUUAAAAAAAUUACAAUUAACUUUCUAAUUGCCUUGGGAAAUUCAAACAAAUUUCAGCUCAUGCAGAAAUAU
Uloborus diversus is the source of this 5175-nucleotide long non-coding RNA. RefSeq lists it as uncharacterized. The record is from RefSeq and is a predicted model, not a curated record. The transcript has 4 exons. NCBI's taxonomy places the organism in Eukaryota, Metazoa, Arthropoda, Arachnida, Araneae, Uloboridae.